AGAGUUUGAUCCUGGCUCAGGACGGACGCUGGCGGCGUGCUUAAUACAUGCAAGUCGAGCGGUGCUUCUUCGGAAGCGCAGCGGCGGACGGGUGAGGAACACGUGAGUAACCGGGCAACCAGUGGGGGAUAUCGGGCCGAAAGGCGCGGCAAUCCCGCAUACGCCGCAGGCCGUCGAGGCCUGCGGGAAAGGCCUUCGGGUCGCUGGAUGGGGGGCUCGCGGCCCAUUAGCUAGUUGGGGGGGUAAUGGCCUCCCAAGGCGACGAUGGGUAGCCGGCCUGAGAGGGUGAUCGGCCACACUGGGACUGAGACACGGCCCAGACUCCUACGGGAGGCAGCAGUAGGGAAUCUUCCACAAUGGGCGCAAGCCUGAUGGAGCAACGCCGCGUGAGUGAAGACGGCCUUCGGGUUGUAAAGCUCUGUCUGUCGGGACGAGGGCCGCGCGGGAACGCGCGGAGGGACGGUACCGGCGGAGGAAGCCCCUGCAAACUACGUGCCAGCAGCCGCGGUAAGACGUAGGGGGCAAGCGUUGUCCGGAAUUACUGGGCGUAAAGGGCGUGUAGGCGGUUUUACACGUAGCGGUUUUCAGCCGUCGGCUCACCCGACGGAGGGCGGCUAAACGGUAAGGCUGGAGGGCAGGAGAGGUGCACGGAAUUCCUGGUGGAGCGGUGAAAUGCGUAGAGAUCAGGAAGAACACCGGUGGCGAAGGCGGUGCACUGGCCUGGCCCUGACGCUGAGGCGCGACAGCGUGGGGAGCAAACGGGAUUAGAUACCCUGGUAGUCC
This 783-nucleotide ribosomal RNA is filed under the name uncultured bacterium. Its description in RNAcentral is "bacterial SSU rRNA". It matches the Rfam family "Bacterial small subunit ribosomal RNA", at positions 8 to 796 of the family's 1533-position model. The record is from RNAcentral.